AAAUUGAAGAGUUUGAUCAUGGCUCAGAUUGAACGCUGGCGGCAGGCCUAACACAUGCAAGUCGAACGGUAACAGGAAGCAGCUUGCUGCUUUGCUGACGAGUGGCGGACGGGUGAGUAAUGUCUGGGAAACUGCCUGAUGGAGGGGGAUAACUACUGGAAACGGUGGCUAAUACCGCAUAACGUCGCAAGACCAAAGAGGGGGACCUUCGGGCCUCUUGCCAUCAGAUGUGCCCAGAUGGGAUUAGCUUGUUGGUGAGGUAACGGCUCACCAAGGCGACGAUCCCUAGCUGGUCUGAGAGGAUGACCAGCCACACUGGAACUGAGACACGGUCCAGACUCCUACGGGAGGCAGCAGUGGGGAAUAUUGCACAAUGGGCGCAAGCCUGAUGCAGCCAUGCCGCGUGUAUGAAGAAGGCCUUCGGGUUGUAAAGUACUUUCAGCGGGGAGGAAGGUGUUGCGGUUAAUAACCGCAGCAAUUGACGUUACCCGCAGAAGAAGCACCGGCUAACUCCGUGCCAGCAGCCGCGGUAAUACGGAGGGUGCAAGCGUUAAUCGGAAUUACUGGGCGUAAAGCGCACGCAGGCGGUCUGUCAAGUCGGAUGUGAAAUCCCCGGGCUCAACCUGGGAACUGCAUUCGAAACUGGCAGGCUUGAGUCUUGUAGAGGGGGGUAGAAUUCCAGGUGUAGCGGUGAAAUGCGUAGAGAUCUGGAGGAAUACCGGUGGCGAAGGCGGCCCCCUGGACAAAGACUGACGCUCAGGUGCGAAAGCGUGGGGAGCAAACAGGAUUAGAUACCCUGGUAGUCCACGCCGUAAACGAUGUCUACUUGGAGGUUGUGCCCUUGAGGCGUGGCUUCCGGAGCUAACGCGUUAAGUAGACCGCCUGGGGAGUACGGCCGCAAGGUUAAAACUCAAAUGAAUUGACGGGGGCCCGCACAAGCGGUGGAGCAUGUGGUUUAAUUCGAUGCAACGCGAAGAACCUUACCUGGUCUUGACAUCCACAGAAGAAUCCAGAGAUGGAUUUGUGCCUUCGGGAACUGUGAGACAGGUGCUGCAUGGCUGUCGUCAGCUCGUGUUGUGAAAUGUUGGGUUAAGUCCCGCAACGAGCGCAACCCUUAUCCUUUGUUGCCAGCGAUUAGG
This 1139-nucleotide ribosomal RNA is filed under the name Salmonella enterica. RNAcentral's name for it is "bacterial SSU rRNA". It matches the Rfam family "Bacterial small subunit ribosomal RNA", at positions 1 to 1129 of the family's 1533-position model. The record is from RNAcentral. RNAcentral also lists the same sequence under 1 other name. Lineage: Bacteria; Pseudomonadati; Pseudomonadota; Gammaproteobacteria; Enterobacterales; Enterobacteriaceae.